AAACUCAAAGGAAUUGACGGGGGCCCGCACAAGCAGCGGAGCAUGUGGUUUAAUUCGAAGCAACGCGAAGAACCUUACCUAGACUUGACAUCUCCUGAAUUACUCUUAAUCGAGGAAGUCGCUUCGGCGACAGGAAGACAGGUGGUGCAUGGUUGUCGUCAGCUCGUGUCGUGAGAUGUUGGGUUAAGUCCCGCAACGAGCGCAACCCUUAUUGUUAGUUGCUACCAUUUAGUUGAGCACUCUAGCGAGACUGCC
Molecule: ribosomal RNA, 255 nt
Filed under: Clostridium botulinum
Lineage: Bacteria; Bacillati; Bacillota; Clostridia; Eubacteriales; Clostridiaceae
Description: partial 16S ribosomal RNA
Rfam family: Bacterial small subunit ribosomal RNA
Source: RNAcentral